RNAcentral lists this ribosomal RNA (467 nucleotides) under uncultured bacterium. Its description in RNAcentral is "partial 16S ribosomal RNA". It matches the Rfam family "Bacterial small subunit ribosomal RNA", at positions 29 to 507 of the family's 1533-position model. The record is from RNAcentral.
ACGCACGCUGGCGGCGUGCUUCACACCUGCCAGUCGAACGGAAAGGCCCUGCUUUUGUGGGGUGCUCGAGUGGCGAACGGGGGAGUAACACGUGAGUAACCUGCCCUUGACUUUGGGAUAACUUCAGGAAACUGGGGCUAAUACCGGAUAGGAGCUCCUGCUGCAUGGUGGGGGUUGGAAAGUUUCGGCGGUUGGGGAUGGACUCGCGGCUUAUCAGCUUGUUGGUGGGGUAGUGGCUUACCAAGGCUUUGACGGGUAGCCGGCCUGAGAGGGUGACCGGCCACAUUGGGACUGAGAUACGGCCCAGACUCCUACGGGAGGCAGCAGUGGGGAAUAUUGCACAAUGGGCGGAAGCCUGAUGCAGCAACGCCGCGUGCGGGAUGACGGCCUUCGGGUUGUAAACCGCUUUCGCCUGUGACGAAGCGUGAGUGACGGUAAUGGGUAAAGAAGCACCGGCUAACUACGUG